This 72-nucleotide ribosomal RNA is filed under the name Alkalibaculum sporogenes. Its description in RNAcentral is "Alkalibaculum sp. M08DMB partial 16S ribosomal RNA". It matches the Rfam family "Bacterial small subunit ribosomal RNA", at positions 1 to 70 of the family's 1533-position model. The record is from RNAcentral. Lineage: Bacteria; Bacillati; Bacillota; Clostridia; Eubacteriales; Eubacteriaceae.
UUUAAUUUGAGAGUUUGAUCCUGGCUCAGGACGAACGCUGGCGGCGUGCCUAACACAUGCAAGUCGAACGAG